This 445-nucleotide long non-coding RNA is filed under the name Lotus japonicus. RNAcentral describes it as "long non-coding RNA (LJAP_LNC002157)". The record is from RNAcentral. Lineage: Eukaryota; Viridiplantae; Streptophyta; Magnoliopsida; Fabales; Fabaceae.
UGAAUUUAUAUUAGCUGCCAGAACUACAAUUAAAGCAGGAGUGCCACAAUGUAAUAAAACUAGAAUUUAGGAAGACAUUUAUUGCAGUUGUACACUAUACAAAGUAACAAAAGUGAAUUUGUUUUGCUCUUGAUAUCUUAUUUCCAAGAGAUUAUUCUUUGGGUGCUCUAGUGCAAAUACUUAGUAUCUGUUCUGAUAUUGCAGUUACAUCAGUCAUGAAUAUCAUGGAUAUUUGGAUCUUCUUGAAGCUUAAGAACUGGAGAUUGCUCCUGAUAUAGAAAGCAUCAUGACUAUUUCCUGUAUCAAGCAUUCCUAUGUUAUUUAGUUUCUUGGUUAUUGUCCUGCAUAGUCCAAUGGAAGGUUCAAAGGGCUUAUUUUCAUAGUGAGCCAUAAUAAGUUGUUAAUUCAAUGGGGUCAUUUCUGUAAUUGAGUGAUAAAAAUGAUC